CAGGAAUUAGAUAGGAGAUGGUAUGAGAGAGAUAGAGAUGAGAGAUGUGGAAGAGCGGUCUGGUCUCUGUAUCCCAUCCCUUUCUGUUUCUUUUCUUUCCUUUGUCAUGGUUAUAAUCCCCAAAUGAAGGGUUAACAGGAAACAGAAAAGGGAUGACAAAGGAAGAAGAAAGCAAAAGAA
Molecule: non-coding RNA, 180 nt
Filed under: uncultured Symbiodinium
Lineage: Eukaryota; Dinophyceae; Suessiales; Symbiodiniaceae
Source: RNAcentral